This 253-nucleotide ribosomal RNA is filed under the name uncultured bacterium. RNAcentral describes it as "partial 16S ribosomal RNA". It matches the Rfam family "Bacterial small subunit ribosomal RNA", at positions 524 to 776 of the family's 1533-position model. The record is from RNAcentral.
UACGUAGGUGGCAAGCGUUAUCCGGAUUUAUUGGGCGUAAAGGGAACGCAGGCGGUCUUUUAAGUCUGAUGUGAAAGCCUUCGGCUUAACCGGAGUAGUGUAUUGGAAACUGGGAGACUUGAGUGCAGAAGAGGAGAGUGGAACUCCAUGUGUAGCGGUGAAAUGCGUAGAUAUAUGGAAGAACACCAGUGGCGAAAGCGGCUCUCUGGUCUGUAACUGACGCUGAGGUUCGAAAGCGUGGGUAGCAAACAGG